Molecule: ribosomal RNA, 306 nt
Filed under: uncultured Peredibacter sp.
Lineage: Bacteria; Pseudomonadati; Bdellovibrionota; Bacteriovoracia; Bacteriovoracales; Bacteriovoracaceae
Description: bacterial SSU rRNA
Rfam family: Bacterial small subunit ribosomal RNA
Source: RNAcentral
GAGAGGUGCUGCAUGGCUGUCGUCAGCUCGUGUUGUGAAAUGUUGGGUUAAGUCUCGCAACGAGCGCAACCCCUAUCGUCUGUUGCCAGCAUUAAGUUGGGCACUCUGACGAGACUGCCUGGGUUAACCAGGAGGAAGAUGAAGAUAACGUCAAGUCCUCAUGGCCCUUAUGUCUAGGGCUACACACGUAAUACAAUGGCGCGUACAAAGGGAAGCGAACUCGCAAGGGGGAGCAAAUCUCAAAAAGCGCGUCUCAGUCCGGAUUGGAGUCUGCAACUCGACUCCAUGAAGUUGGAAUCGCUAGUA